Exaiptasia diaphana is the source of this 345-nucleotide long non-coding RNA. RefSeq lists it as uncharacterized. The record is from RefSeq and is a predicted model, not a curated record. The transcript is spliced from 4 exons. Lineage: Eukaryota; Metazoa; Cnidaria; Anthozoa; Actiniaria; Aiptasiidae.
UUUUUUCAUUCCAAACCGCUCAGUCCACAAAAGAGCCACGACAUCUAUUCAGAGUUGAAUUUUUUCAGGAUGAAGAAGUUUUUAGUAAUUGCCCUGUUGGUAAUGUUAGCUGUCAGUGUGGCCUUUGCCAUGCCUAGUGAAUCUGACAUGGAAGGAAGACGAAUGUAUAAACGCUAUCUAGGCAAGAAGCAGUGUAGAAUAGAUCUUGACUGCAAGCCGAGAAUGUACUGCAAACAUCGAUUAUGGUCAGACGAUACUUGCGAAUGGCGUUAACCUAGCCAAAAAAGUACCAUAAAGAUGAUUCCAAUGCAUGGUUUGUCAAUAAACUUCAAGGAUGAAUAUGUA